This 389-nucleotide ribosomal RNA is filed under the name Paracoccus sp. R-46307. RNAcentral's name for it is "bacterial SSU rRNA". It matches the Rfam family "Bacterial small subunit ribosomal RNA", at positions 20 to 439 of the family's 1533-position model. Lineage: Bacteria; Pseudomonadati; Pseudomonadota; Alphaproteobacteria; Rhodobacterales; Paracoccaceae. The record is from RNAcentral.
UGGCUCAGAACGAACGCUGGCGGCAGGCCUAACACAUGCAAGUCGAGCGCCCUUUCGGGGGAGCGGCGGACGGGUGAGUAACGCGUGGGAAUAUGCCCUUCUCUACGGAAUAGCCUCGGGAAACUGAGAGUAAUACCGUAUACGCCCUGUGGGGGAAAGAUUUAUCGGGGAAGGAUUAGCCCGCGUUGGAUUAGGUAGUUGGUGGGGUAAUGGCCUACCAAGCCGACGAUCCAUAGCUGGUUUGAGAGGAUGAUCAGCCACACUGGGACUGAGACACGGCCCAGACUCCUACGGGAGGCAGCAGUGGGGAAUCUUAGACAAUGGGGGCAACCCUGAUCUAGCCAUGCCGCGUGAGUGAUGAAGGCCUUAGGGUUGUAAAGCUCUUUCAG